Molecule: transfer RNA, 69 nt
Filed under: Monodelphis domestica (gray short-tailed opossum)
Lineage: Eukaryota; Metazoa; Chordata; Mammalia; Didelphimorphia; Didelphidae
Rfam family: tRNA
About the family: Transfer RNA (tRNA) molecules are approximately 80 nucleotides in length.
Source: Rfam by way of RNAcentral
GCAAAUAUAGUUUAACAAAAACAUUAGAUUGUGAAUCUAAAUAUAGAAGUUUAAACCUUCUUAUAUGCU